Molecule: unclassified non-coding RNA, 663 nt
Filed under: Hevea brasiliensis (rubber tree)
Lineage: Eukaryota; Viridiplantae; Streptophyta; Magnoliopsida; Malpighiales; Euphorbiaceae
Source: RNAcentral
CUUUUGUUAAAAAAAAAAUGAUAAAAUUAUUUAAGCCUGCAACUGGGCAUAAGGAGGUUUCGGCCUACGAAUUGGGUUUACUGGGUGAGUUCCAGAUUUCCAGUGAAACCGGGAAAAUGUUGCGCAACGGCAUCAUUCCUCAGUUUCCCUUCCGUGUCCUCUUCUUCCUUUUCCACAUCAAGCUUAGCAAUCUCCACAAAAGGCUUCAUACUCUCUGCGCUUAGUUCCCUCCAUAAAACCCCAAAACCAAAACCCUUCAAAAAUUUUCAAUCUACAGGUCUUAAUUGGCCGCCUAUUUCUCAAUCAUCGCUACCAAGAUGAUACUUAGAAUCCGUAGCAGAGAUGGCGUCGAGCGCGUCUCCAUCGACAGCCCCAACAUUACCGUUUCCCAGCUCAAAAGUCUAAUUCAAAAGCAGCUUCAAAUCCCAAUCCAUAACCAAACCCUAUCUACAAAUCAAAACAUACUGUUGGUUAAAUCCCCUUUGGAUCUUCUCAAAUUCACCGAUAUGUCUGACCCCAAUACCCUUAUUUCUUCCCUAAACAUUGCCCAUGGCUCUAUUGUCUUCUUAGCCUAUGAGGGUGAGAGAACCAUUACAGGACCCACCAUUCAUCCCGCUGGGUCCUUCGGCCGCAAAAUGACCAUGGACGACCUAAUUGCCGGAC